This 292-nucleotide ribosomal RNA is filed under the name uncultured bacterium. Its description in RNAcentral is "partial 16S ribosomal RNA". The record is from RNAcentral.
GGACUACUGGGGUUUCUAAUCCCAUUCGCUCCCCUGGCUUUCGUUCCUCAGUGUCAGUUAUGGCCCAGUCAGUCGCUUACGCCACCGGUGUUCUUCCAAAUAUCUACGCAUUUCACCGCUACACUUGGAAUUCCACUGACCUCUACCAUACUCCAGUCUGCCAGUAUCCAAUGCAGUCCCGAGGUUGAGCCCCGGUCUUUAACAUCAGACUUAACAAACCACCUACGAACUCUUUACGCCCAAUAAAUCCGGACAACGCUCGCAUCCUACGUCUUACCGCGGCUGCUGGCAC